This 1497-nucleotide ribosomal RNA is filed under the name Pseudoalteromonas flavipulchra NCIMB 2033 = ATCC BAA-314. RNAcentral's name for it is "partial 23S ribosomal RNA". It matches the Rfam family "Bacterial large subunit ribosomal RNA", at positions 1 to 1550 of the family's 2925-position model. The record is from RNAcentral. Lineage: Bacteria; Pseudomonadati; Pseudomonadota; Gammaproteobacteria; Alteromonadales; Pseudoalteromonadaceae.
GUUGUAUGGUUAAGUGACUAAGCGUACACGGUGGAUGCCUUGGCAGUUGGAGGCGAUGAAGGACGUACUAACUUGCGAUAAGCCUAGUCAAGCCAGUAAGAGGCGCUUGAGACUAGGAUUUCCGAAUGGGGAAACCCACCUGCUUGCAGGUAUCGUUAACUGAAUACAUAGGUUAACGAGGCGAACGCGGAGAACUGAAACAUCUAAGUACCCGUAGGAAAAGAAAUCAACCGAGAUUCCGAAAGUAGCGGCGAGCGAAAUCGGACCAGCCCUUAAGCUUUAGUGUAGUUAGUGGAACAUGCUGGAAAGCAUGACGAAACAGGGUGAUAGUCCCGUACACAAAAACUUAUCUAAAGUGAAAUCGAGUAGGUCGGAGCACGUGAAACUUUGACUGAAUAUGGGGGGACCAUCCUCCAAGGCUAAAUACUCCCAACUGACCGAUAGUGAACCAGUACCGUGAGGGAAAGGCGAAAAGAACCCCUGUGAGGGGAGUGAAAUAGAACCUGAAACCGUGUACGUACAAGCAGUAGGAGCCUACUUGUUGGGUGACUGCGUACCUUUUGUAUAAUGGGUCAGCGACUUAUAUUCUGUAGCGAGGUUAACCAUUUAGGGGAGCCGUAGCGAAAGCGAGUCUUAACUGGGCGCUUAAGUUGCAGGGUAUAGACCCGAAACCCGGUGAUCUAGCCAUGGGCAGGUUGAAGGUUGAGUAACAUCAACUGGAGGACCGAACCCACUAACGUUGAAAAGUUAGGGGAUGACCUGUGGCUAGGAGUGAAAGGCUAAUCAAACCGGGAGAUAGCUGGUUCUCCCCGAAAUCUAUUUAGGUAGAGCCUCGGACGAAUACUUACGGGGGUAGAGCACUGUUAAGGCUAGGGGGUCAUCCCGACUUACCAACCCUUUGCAAACUCCGAAUACCGUAAAGUAAUAUCCGGGAGACACACGGCGGGUGCUAACGUCCGUCGUGGAGAGGGAAACAACCCAGACCGUCAGCUAAGGUCCCAAAGUGUAUGUUAAGUGGGAAACGAUGUGGGAAGGCUAAAACAGCUAGGAGGUUGGCUUAGAAGCAGCCACCCUUUAAAGAAAGCGUAAUAGCUCACUAGUCGAGUCGGCCUGCGCGGAAGAUGUAACGGGGCUAAACAUACCACCGAAGCUACGGCUGCGUACGUAAGUAUGCGGGGUAGGGGAGCGUUCUGUAAGUGGCUGAAGGUGUGCCGGGAGGCAUGCUGGACAUAUCAGAAGUGCGAAUGCUGACAUGAGUAACGACAAGAGGAGUGAAAAACUCCUCCGCCGGAAGACCAAGGGUUCCUAUCCCAUGUUAAUCAGGGUAGGGUGAGUCGACCCCUAAGGCGAGGCUGAAGAGCGUAGUCGAUGGGAAACGGGUUAAUAUUCCCGUACUCGGUAUGAAUGCGAUGGGGGGACGGAGCAGGCUAGGCAAGCAUGGCGUUGGUUGUCCAUGUGAAAGGCUGUAGGCUGGUGACUUAGGAAAAUCCGGGUUGC